This 74-nucleotide transfer RNA is filed under the name Candidatus Uhrbacteria bacterium. RNAcentral's name for it is "tRNA-Gln". It matches the Rfam family "tRNA". From Rfam's summary of the family: Transfer RNA (tRNA) molecules are approximately 80 nucleotides in length. Their secondary structure includes four short double-helical elements and three loops (D, anti-codon, and T loops). The record is from RNAcentral. Lineage: Bacteria; Candidatus Uhriibacteriota.
UCCCGGAUCGUCUAAUGGCAGGACGAGUGGUUCUGGUCCACUAAAUCGGGGUUCGAAUCCCUGUCCGGGAACCA